AUAUUCAUUUUCUCUGCGGUUAGUACGAAGCCCACGCCGGCGCGGUGCUCUCACGGCCCCCUGCGGGUUCUGACGGUGCUGGUGGUCUGAGUCGGUGCGCUUGGAUAAGGACCGCUAUCCCGCUGACAAAAACCGGAUAAGUUCGGCCUCCCCCCUGUGGACCUUAGAAUGAGAAGCUAAUAAAAGAAGACGCAGCCUCUCAGCAGCCACAAUAUGACCCUCUGGAUUUAACCUGAGCAUGUGGUUGGGGUCAAAGCAAAGAUUUUUUCCUACCUGUCCUUUUCCCUCUGAAUAUCCCUGUAACGGUGCACAAACACGCACUGCUGCUAUUUUGUAAAUGCGCUCCAUCAUGACAAUGACCUGCAGUUUCUGUCUGAGUAAUAGCUACAUCAUAAAAAGCUCCUUAACUUCACAGGGCGCAUAUAAGAAUGAUUUAUGGCGCAGGUUAAAGGAGAUUUUUCCAGUUUGUUCUAUGUGUAAGCCAGGAUUUUACAUUUGCAAUGUGCUCAUUGAUACUUCAUUAAAAGAAUGACAAUCUGACAUUAAAGACUGUUCUACUGACAGAUGAAAAAAAAAAAAGUUAUUUGUCAUU
Molecule: long non-coding RNA, 592 nt
Organism: Amphiprion ocellaris (clown anemonefish)
Lineage: Eukaryota; Metazoa; Chordata; Actinopteri; Pomacentridae
Exons: 2
Source: RefSeq, a predicted model, not a curated record